UACGUAGGGUGCAAGCGUUGUCCGGAAUUAUUGGGCGUAAAGAGCUCGUAGGCGGUCUGUCACGUCGGCUGUGAAAACUCGGGGCUCAACUCCGGGUCUGCAGUCGAUACGGGCAGACUUGAGUGUUGCAGGGGAGACUGGAAUUCCUGGUGUAGCGGUGAAAUGCGCAGAUAUCAGGAGGAACACCGGUGGCGAAGGCGACACGCUGGGCCGUACCUGACACUGAUGCGCGACAGCAUGGGGAGCAAACAGG
This 253-nucleotide ribosomal RNA is filed under the name uncultured bacterium. Its description in RNAcentral is "partial 16S ribosomal RNA". It matches the Rfam family "Bacterial small subunit ribosomal RNA", at positions 524 to 776 of the family's 1533-position model. The record is from RNAcentral.